UACAGAGACUGCAAGCGUUAUUCGGAUUCACUGGGCGUAAAGGGUGCGCAGGCGGUUGUGUGUGUCCGGUGUGAAAGCCCGGGGCUUAACCCCGGAAUUGCGCCUGAAACUACAUGACUAGAGCAUUGGAGAGGGUAGCGGAAUUCACGGUGUAGCAGUGAAAUGCGUAGAUAUCGUGAGGAACACCAGAGGCGAAGGCGGCUACCUGGACAAUUGCUGACGCUCAGGCACGAAAGCGUGGGGAGCAAAAGGG
This 253-nucleotide ribosomal RNA is filed under the name uncultured bacterium. Its description in RNAcentral is "partial 16S ribosomal RNA". It matches the Rfam family "Bacterial small subunit ribosomal RNA", at positions 524 to 776 of the family's 1533-position model. The record is from RNAcentral.